AUGCGCUUGCUCCAGCUGGUGGUACAAUAUUCGGAGGCGGUAUCGCCUCUCUGAUCCUCUAGUUUCAAAGGAGAUUCUUCCUGGUUUGCAUGAGAAGGACAGCAUUUCUGCUAAUUUGAUUGUCAAUAUGAGAGUAUCGUAUUCCUUUUUAAAUCCUCAUUGCAAUUGUUUGUAACUACCUCAGGACUUUUUUUUUCAAAGUACAUUACCUGAGAACAGGUGAAGGAGUUGACAUAUUUUUCUUUUUAGCUAUGGAAUUUAAUCAAUAAUUUUUUAAGUAAAUUAAAAUACCUUUAACAGGAAUAUUUACUGGAGGUGUACAGUUAAGAAAAUCAUUUAGAUUAAUUCACAUUGGUAUUUAUUAUUGGAAGAGAGGUGGAAGAAGUCUAUAAUUUGAUUUCAUUGUUUGCAUUUCGACAUGCAAACUACAUUCAGAAUGAGGUACUGUGUAUUGUGUGAGUGUGAAGAGAUGUCUGUACAUAAAGACUCCUGUAUUGGGGGGAAUUUUACAUCAGAAUAACAGUGUUUAAAGAAAAAAUAUAACAGUGAAAAGGAUAUAUAAAUGCUUGGCUAAGUAAAUUUGAUAUUAUUUAGAAAGAAAAUAUCUUCCCAUCCUCGAGUCCUGAACUAUGCAUUUAAUAUUUAAAGCUCAUAUUCUUUACAAAACAAUACAGGUCCUUCUCUGUGUAAGAUAAGUGAGGACAUGGACUUUGUAGACAGCGAGCCAGGCGAUUGUAAGAGAUCCUAUUUGUUAUUGUAUUCAACUCGAUAUAAUGACGGCAUAUUUUAGAUGUACACAAUAAAUAUAUAAUGUAUGGUAAUGAUGUGUUCUUCAGUGUGUGUUCACUUGAAACUUGCCUCUAGGUUUGUCAGAACAUGGUGUCAAUGCAAAUGAAAAGAAUAAAUAAAACAGGCUACAUUGAACUAGCAUUAGCCAUUUUACCAAGGGCUUAACUUUUAUAUUUGAAAAAUCAAGAAAUAUUUUUCAUAAAAGGACUGUUAUCUUGUUUUGCUACUACAUUAAACAAGAUGCAUUUUCCACCAUGUGGCAAGUGUAGCUCAACUCAAGAUUUUGCUCUGAUUUCUGAUCAUUUGCUUGUCUGAAUGAUACCUGGGCCCCGUAACUCGAAAGCAUUGUGCGUUGCGACCAAGCGCAAAGCAUCUCGAUUCCGUAACUCGCCCAUACUCAUCCCAUAUAAUACAUUGUAGUCUCUAUUUGAUAUCGCUAUUUGCAACAUGCGAUGCUUUCGAGUUACGGGCCCAGUUCUGGCUUUGAUCACUCACUAGGGCAGAAUGUGCAGAAUUAGAAAAAAUAAUGAAGUCACAGAGGAUAGUCAAGUUGUUUUUUUAAUAAAAAUUGAGCUUGACAGAAUUUCCAAUUACAAAAUAAGCAAAGAUGUUCACCAAAAAUGAAUAGUAAUUACUCAAUCUUUUCAAUAUUAUCUGGAAAUAUUAUCAGACUUCAGAUGCAUAAAUUAUAAUCACAAAAAUUGCACUUAAAUAUAUCAUUUGUGAUGCUUUUACUGCAUUGAAUAGAACUAUAGAUUAGCCUUCUUUUCAAUUUUGUUGCUGCCAUGUAAUUUUAAGAAAUAAUUACUUUAAAAUACAGUAUCUGUAAAAUUUACAAUUUCUCCCCUUGAAAAGAUUGAGCAAUUACAAUAAGUGUGGCUUUAUAACUAUAUGCUGGCAUAUACAUCUAAUAGUUCUAUAAUUAAAAUAUUCAAUAAUCAAUGUUUAUGAUAUGCAUAUCUUAAAGCUUCAAAUUUAUUUCCUAGCUGUAAUGGAUGAAAUGUCUUGAUGGGUGUCAUUCCAUGAUAUUUUUUCCUCUGUAAUAUGUUUCAUCUCCCUACAAACUUUUUGGUCAUUGCUAUUUCUGCUGAUGCUGUCCAAUUGGCUAAAAAUGGAGUUUGCUCUCUUAUGUUGUUGAUGCAUUUCAUGGGAUGUGAAAAGGUAAAACCAUUUUAUGGAGGGGAAAUUUUGUUUUUGGUGGAAAAAAUGUGAAGUGGCUCAUAAGUUGUUUUAUUGGAAUAGCUAAUUUUUUUCCUUUCUUCUAGUAAAAACGAUGUGUGUGUGUGUGUUUAAAUUUAUUUUUUGGUAAUUUGACAAUUUACAAAUAUAAUAUACUUUUUAUCAUUCAAAAUUUUCUCUUCCUUUUAGUGAAGAUGUCUGGAGUUCUGGACUUGAACAAGGAAGUGAAAAGAAACAGCUGAUGUUUUCUCCGCCACUCUUCGGUCUGUUCCUGUAUGCGAGUGGCAUUGAAGGCUGUGAUUCAUGAGAGCUACGUUCCACCCACUGGUAAGACAAAAGCCUGGUGUGCUUCCAUCGGUGAUGGAUGGUCGUACCUGAGGUGAUCACAUAGCAGACCCUGUAAAAAAACCUCUCAGAUGUCAAAAACCCAGCAAGCUACAAAGAGAAAAUAGAUGGACCAAGAAGAGUUAUCUAUCUUUCUGCCUCAUUAUGUCUUUGAAUAGGGUGUGAGUAGUCAAGGGGGAGCCCGUGAACUGAUGAGCUCAUCACUUAAGCCACGCUGAGUCAAAAAUUAUAUCAACUAGAGUUCAUCCUGUUUGUCCUGCCAUCUCCCUUUGAUCUAAUAAUGUGCAAUAAAUCAACAUCAAGCCAAAUCUAAUAUUUCUUUUUAAUUCGAGCAAUGCUGUGUUUGUCGCUAUAGGGGCCUAACGACCCCUGCCGACUGGAUCUCAUCAGGAGCCGUUCUGUGCAAGAGUUCUGCUGUAUGGGAUGAUAGAUGAGCCAGUACUUACCCAGUUACAUUAUAGACCAGAUGAUGUAUAGAGCCAUUAGUUGGUGGACUAUGCACAUACAUCUUCCUACAGCUGUGCAAAGCUUUAGAUCCAUGCAGAUACAGGCAGAAGGCUUGUAAUGGAUACAGCCGGCAUUGUCAGGAACCAGAGGUCACUUUAUAUGGAGGGUGAAAUGGAGUGCAGUUCAUUAUUUUUUUGUUUCACGCCAUCGUCACUUUCUUUAACUUAUAUUUAUGUAUUUAUUAGCAUUGUUAAUAUUACAACAAAUUUACUUGAAAGUGCCUUAAAUCUGUAGAUACAGAAUGUGAGAGGAAAUUUAUAUGGAGAUUAAAGCAAAAUACAUUUAAUUAUUUUUUCAUCACUUCCCUGAGCUUGAGUAUUUAAUAUAUAUUAUUAUCAUUAUUAUUAUUUUAAGAAACAUUUAAAUAAAAGAAAAAUUUACUUUAAAAUGCCUCAAAUUUGUAAACUUAACAUAUUAGAAGAAACUUUUGAUUAUUUGUAUAUUGCUUCCUCAAGUAACAUUUAAUAAAGUACAUUUCAAUAUUGAAUAUUUCCUGCAUUAGUUUACAUCAGAAUAACUGACAUAAUUGUUUAUAUGUGCAUCUGUUGUGAGGCUGACAAAGCACCCACAUAUUUAGUUAGCUGUACUUUAUUCUGAACAUAUGCAGAAGUAAAGGGGAGGUAUUUGCCAGCAAGCUGCACACACUGAUGGCCAGAGACAGGUGUCAUGGCAACAUGGUGAAAUUAUGUGAUGAAUAGAAAAUCUGAAAGAAACAUGUUAGCCAACUCUAAUAUGAAUCAUGAAUACAGUUCUUGGGUUAAAAAACUUUCAGCAUUAGUGUUUAUCUUAUAAAUGAUAAGUUUUAUUAUUAUGCAGCAUUUAGCAAAAAAAUAUCUUGAUUCUGAUAAGUUACUGAAAGCUGCCAAUAACAAUA
Molecule: long non-coding RNA, 3694 nt
Filed under: Lingula anatina
Lineage: Eukaryota; Metazoa; Brachiopoda; Lingulata; Lingulida; Lingulidae
Description: uncharacterized LOC106156437
Source: RNAcentral